GAACCCGCGCCCGGCUCCCGUUGGGAGGGAGCGGCAUCUAGCGGCAGAGAGUUGCCACUGCAACGCCUGGCUCCCAGCCCUCCCACCCAACGUCCUCCUCCCAGUCACCGACCAAUCGUGGCCCACUGACUCCCGGGUUCAGCGUCUCCGACGCCGCCCGCAAACCAGGCGCCCGCAGGGGCGCGCCACCGAGUGGGGUAAACAAGGUGCCGUGCCCGCGCCUGACUUACUCAUUCGUUUGGCCGCCCUUCCGCCGCGGACCCGAUCGAGCCGCGGUUUUUCUGUCUUUAGUAGGGUGUCGAGGGGAGGGCGGUAAGAAUGUCCGGCGGAGCCCCGGGCCGUGGGAAUCCAGAGGCUGGCUGGACUCGCUCGAGGACUCGUUCCCCGGGCCCCUGCGCUCCUCGCGCGGCGCUAAGCCCACUGGUCCCGUCUCCGAGAAAACGUGGUCUGUGUCUCCAGGGUCUAGGAGUCCUAAGGAACUGGACUACUAGGCUAGGCCGGGCGCUCGACCAAUUUGUUCGCCACUCUCGGGGCAGAGGAAGAGAUACGACCGAGCGAAGUGGAGGGAAAUCGAAAUUUGGGCAAAGGAGUGUGGGGGGACCCCGCCUCACCCGCGCAUCCACUGGCUUCCUGGGCGGGGGCAGCAGCGCGAAAUUGUUGAGAAUUUAGGUUACCUCGCACCCUGCCUUCCCAACCCUCCCCCAAGAUGUUUGAAGUGCGAAAAGACCCUUUCUGUUCCUCCGACCCCUGUUAACUAAAAUGUUUGUCACCCUUAUUUUUUUAUUUGUUUCGAAUCCAGUGUACUGGACCUUUGACCGCCAAGAGCUCUUUACUCGGGGGAGAAAAACUCGGGGAGGGCCUAUCCCAUCCAAAGCACCGCUUUUUCCUUGGACAGGAAGAAGUGACCUAUUACAGUGUCUCCAUUGCUGUUAUAGAAGUUCGUAGAUUCAUAAAAUAGUGUUUGCUUAAGAAGUCUUCGUUUCUGUUCCUUUUGUGAAAUUUUGGUUAAAAUAUUUCUUAAAUAUUAAACUACAUUUCAGUUAGAAGAAAAGGAAUAAAACGUAUUAAUAACAAAACA
Molecule: long non-coding RNA, 1078 nt
Filed under: Piliocolobus tephrosceles (Ugandan red Colobus)
Lineage: Eukaryota; Metazoa; Chordata; Mammalia; Primates; Cercopithecidae
Description: lncRNA (ENSPTEG00000023008.1)
Source: RNAcentral